GUUUACCCGGCUAAGGCAUGACACUGCUUCCCUUUCAGAUUCCGGUGCAGUCCUCUGACCAUAUUGGGAAGGAUAUGUAAAAUGAUACGAGUUUCAGGGAAUAAGAAUGGGGGUGAGAGGAAUCACUGAGGACGCCCAAGGACAAAGCAGCCGGAACAAGACAGAGUUUCUCUUGUUGCUCAGGCUGGAGUGCAAUGGCGUGAUCUUAGCUCAUUGCAACCUCUGCCUCCCAGGUUCAAACAAUUCUCCUGCCUCAGUCUCCUGAGUAGCUGGAAUUACAGUUUAUAGCUCAGCAGUUCCAAGAUGGCCGAAUAGGAACAGCUCCAGUCUACAGCUCCCAGCGUGAGUGAUGCAGAAGACGGGUGAUUUCUGCAUUUCCAACCAAGGCACCGGGUUUAUCUCACUGGGGCUUGUCAGACAGUGGGUGCAAUCCAUGAAGUGUGAGCCAAAGCAGGGCGGGGCAUCACCUCACCCAGGAAGUGCAAGAGGUCGGGGAAUUCCCUUUCCUAGCUGAGGGAAGCCAUGACAGAUGGUACCUGGAAAAUCGGGACACUCCCAUCCUGAUACUGCACUUUUCCAACGGUCUUAGCAAAUGGCACACCAGGAGAUUAUAUCCCACGCUUGGCUCGGAGGGUCCCACACCCACGGAGCCUCGCUCACUGCUAGCACAGCAGUCUGAGACUGAACUGCAAGGCGGCAGUGAGGCUGGGGGAGGGGCGUCCACCAUUGAUGACAUUUGAGUAGGUAAACAAAACACUCCAGCCUGGGUGACGGACUGAGACUCUGUCUC
This 790-nucleotide long non-coding RNA is filed under the name Pan troglodytes (chimpanzee). Its description in RNAcentral is "lincRNA". The record is from RNAcentral. Lineage: Eukaryota; Metazoa; Chordata; Mammalia; Primates; Hominidae.